AUUGAACGCUGGCGGAAUGCUUUACACAUGCAAGUCGAACGGUAGAGGGGGCAACCCCUUGAGAGUGGCGAACGGGUGAGUAAUAUAUCGGAACGUGCCCAGUCGUGGGGAUAACGUAGCGAAAGUUACGCUAAUACCGCAUACGAUCUAAGGAUGAAAGCGGGGGAUCGCAAGACCUCGCGCGAUUGGAGCGGCCGAUAUCAGAUUAGGUAGUUGGUGAGGUAAAGGCUCACCAAGCCAACGAUCUGUAGCUGGUCUGAGAGGACGACCAGCCACACUGGAACUGAGACACGGUCCAGACUCCUACGGGAGGCAGCAGUGGGGAAUUUUGGACAAUGGACGCAAGUCUGAUCCAGCCAUUCCGCGUGCAGGAUGAAGGCCCUGGGUUNUAAACUGCUUUUGUACGGAACG
This 411-nucleotide ribosomal RNA is filed under the name uncultured bacterium. RNAcentral describes it as "bacterial SSU rRNA". It matches the Rfam family "Bacterial small subunit ribosomal RNA", at positions 30 to 447 of the family's 1533-position model. The record is from RNAcentral.